This 276-nucleotide unclassified non-coding RNA is filed under the name Hevea brasiliensis (rubber tree). The record is from RNAcentral. Lineage: Eukaryota; Viridiplantae; Streptophyta; Magnoliopsida; Malpighiales; Euphorbiaceae.
GGACAUCCUGGACUAUGAGAUCAUGAAGAGGAUGAACAGAGGUUCUACUGCAGAGGGCUAUGUUUACUACUUUGUUAUCCAUGAUGUUUUAAAGUUUUAAAAAUCUUAUAAUAUGAUGGAAGAUUUUUGUUUUAUGAGUUGCAAUAAUCUAUAUUUCCUGUUUUAUUCUAUUCUGGUUGCUUGUUGGAGAUAUGAUAAUGCCAAUCCAAUUUUGGAAUUCAUAUUGCUAUCUGCAUAUAUAGAGAGAACUAUAAUGCUUUUAGCUAUUAAAAUAAU